UUAAUUUAAGAAAGUGGGAGGAGAUGAAGAGACUACCCUAAGAAGAAAUUAAAAGUUAAGAGUUGAAAAGAUCUAACCAAUGGGAUGCAAUCCAACAGACAAGAAUGUCAUAUAGAAACCCAUUUUCCCUUGGACUUUGACAAGCAAUAAGCAAUAAGCAAUAAGCAACAUCCAAGAAUUAUAUGAAGAUCAAGGCAUUAAAUAAAUAUAACCAUAAUAUCCAAGCAUGCCAUCCAAUAGCUAGAAGUCUUCAAUAUAUUCCCGUGUAGCAGAUGAAAAU
This 280-nucleotide long non-coding RNA is filed under the name Lathyrus oleraceus (garden pea). RNAcentral describes it as "Pisum sativum (pea) long non-coding RNA (PSAT_LNC031695)". The record is from RNAcentral. Lineage: Eukaryota; Viridiplantae; Streptophyta; Magnoliopsida; Fabales; Fabaceae.